GAAAAAGUAGGGUCUUGUUGCCGUUCAUGAGUGAGGCUCGUACAAUUCAGUAAAAUUAUUUGCAUUGUUAUCGGGUGAACCGCCGGAUCUUCUUGGUAACUGAGGGUUCAGUAAAUGAUGUUGCAUUU
Small nucleolar RNA from Hibiscus syriacus, 128 nucleotides. RefSeq annotates it as small nucleolar RNA snoR74. The transcript has a single exon. The record is from RefSeq and is a predicted model, not a curated record. NCBI's taxonomy places the organism in Eukaryota, Viridiplantae, Streptophyta, Magnoliopsida, Malvales, Malvaceae.